UCAUUACAACAGAUAUAAUCUACUUGUUCUGUGACUUAAAUGGAUAACUGCGGUAAUUCUGGAGCCAAUACAUGCGUGAAGCUGCGGCCUUCGGGUCGCAGUGCUAUUAUUGGAGCAAAACUAUUCGUUAGUCCUUUUGCUAACUCUGGAUAAUACUGCGUAUCGCACGAUCUUGUGUCGGCGAAGUUUCAUUCGAGUAUCUGCCCUAUCAACUGGUUGGCAGUGUAUUGGACUGCCAUGGUUCUAACGGGUAACGGAGAAUCAGGGUUUGACUCCGGAGAAUCCGCCUUAAAAACGGCGAAUAUGUCUAAGGAUAGCAGCAGGCGCGAAAAUUACCCAAUAUCAAUACGAUGAGGUAGUGACGAGAAAUAACGAGUCCGUUCUCUCUGAGGUCGGACAUUGGAAUGGGUACAAUGUAGACAAUUUAACGAGUAUCUACGAGAGGGCAAGUCUGGUGCCAGCAGCCGCGGUAAUUCCAGCUCUCGUAAUACAUAGAAUUAUUGUUGCGGUUAAAAAGUUCAUAGUUGGAUUGUCGAACCGUGCGGGGUGCGUCCUAGCGGGCGUCACUCGCGUGCGGUAUUUUGCGCGUUUUCGGGCCUUCGGGUCGGUGAUGCGCAGGAUUACUUUGAACGGCUUAAGUGCUCAAGGCGGGUCUUACGACUGAAUACCGGUGCAUGGAAUAAUGGAACAAGGUUGCGGCCGAGUUUUAUUGGUUUUGUCGGCUGAAACAAUGGUUAACAGGAACAGCCGGGGGCAUUCGUAUCGCUGCGCGAGAGGUGAAAUUCGAGGACCGUAGCGAGACGCACUAAAGCGAAGGCAUUUGCCAAGAGUGUUUUCAUUAAUCAAGAACGAAAGUCAGAGGUUCGAAGGCGAUUAGAUACCGCCCUAGUUCUGACCGUAAAUGAUGCCAACUACCAAUUCGCUUGUGGAUUCGAGUUCAUAAGCGAGCGGGUUUCCGGAAACGAAAGUCUUUCGGUUCCGGGGGAAGUAUGGUUGCAAAGCUGAAACUUAAAGGAAUUGACGGAAGGGCCCCCCCAGGAGUGGAGCUUGCGGGCUUAUUUUACUCCACACGGGAAACCUCCCCCGGCCGCAAAUCUUAAGGAUUGAAAAACCAUAGCCCUUUUUUGAUUCGGGGGAGGGGGGGGGGGGGCCCUUUUUUUUUUGGUUAAAAAAAAGUUUUCUUUUUUUUUAAAAAAAAAGAAAAACCCCCCGCAAAAAAA
Molecule: ribosomal RNA, 1220 nt
Filed under: Aphelenchoides besseyi
Lineage: Eukaryota; Metazoa; Nematoda; Chromadorea; Rhabditida; Aphelenchoididae
Description: partial small subunit ribosomal RNA
Rfam family: Eukaryotic small subunit ribosomal RNA
Source: RNAcentral